GGUAUACGCACACAUGACAAUCGAGCUGAGUAACGAGUUAUCUGAACCUUCGGGGGACGAUAACGGCGUCGAGCGGCGGACGGGUGAGUAAUGCCUAGGAAAUUGCCCUGAUGUGGGGGAUAACCAUUGGAAACGAUGGCUAAUACCGCAUGAUGCCUACGGGCCAAAGAGGGGGACCUUCGGGCCUCUCGCGUCAGGAUAUGCCUAGGUGGGAUUAGCUAGUUGGUGAGGUAAGGGCUCACCAAGGCGACGAUCCCUAGCUGGUCUGAGAGGAUGAUCAGCCACACUGGAACUGAGACACGGUCCAGACUCCUACGGGAGGCAGCAGUGGGGAAUAUUGCACAAUGGGCGCAAGCCUGAUGCAGCCAUGCCGCGUGUGUGAAGAAGGCCUUCGGGUUGUAAAGCACUUUCAGUCGUGAGGAAGGUAGUGUAGUUAAUAGCUGCAUUAUUUGACGUUAGCGACAGAAGAAGCACCGGCUAACUCCGUGCCAGCAGCCGCGGUAAUACGGAGGGUGCGAGCGUUAAUCGGAAUUACUGGGCGUAAAGCGCAUGCAGGUGGUUUGUUAAGUCAGAUGUGAAAAGCCCGGGGCUCAACCUCGGAAUAUCUUUUUGAAACUGGCAGACUAGAGUACUGUUGAGGGGGGGGUAGAAUUUUCAGGUGUAGCGGUGAA
Molecule: ribosomal RNA, 671 nt
Filed under: Vibrio campbellii
Lineage: Bacteria; Pseudomonadati; Pseudomonadota; Gammaproteobacteria; Vibrionales; Vibrionaceae
Description: bacterial SSU rRNA
Rfam family: Bacterial small subunit ribosomal RNA
Source: RNAcentral